GCUAACUACGUGCCAGCAGCCGCGGUAAGACGUAGGGGGCGAGCGUUGUCCGGAAUUACUGGGCGUAAAGAGCACGUAGGCGGAUGGUUAAGUCAGGUGUGAAAGACCGCAGCCUAACUGCGGGGUUGCACAUGAAACUGGUCAUCUUGAGGGCAGGAGAGGGCAGUAGAAUUCCUGGUGUAGCGGUGAAAUGCGUAGAAAUCAGGAGGAAUACCAGUGGCGAAGGCGACUGUCUGGACUGACCCUGACGCUGAGGUGCGAAAGCGUGGGUAGCAAACAGGAUUAGAUACCCCGGUAGUC
Molecule: ribosomal RNA, 300 nt
Filed under: uncultured Syntrophomonas sp.
Lineage: Bacteria; Bacillati; Bacillota; Clostridia; Eubacteriales; Syntrophomonadaceae
Description: bacterial SSU rRNA
Rfam family: Bacterial small subunit ribosomal RNA
Source: RNAcentral